RNAcentral lists this ribosomal RNA (426 nucleotides) under uncultured bacterium. RNAcentral's name for it is "partial 16S ribosomal RNA". It matches the Rfam family "Bacterial small subunit ribosomal RNA", at positions 354 to 796 of the family's 1533-position model. The record is from RNAcentral.
GUGGGGAAUAUUGGACAAUGGGCGCAAGCCUGAUCCAGCCAUGCCGCGUGAGUGAUGAAGGCCUUAGGGUUGUAAAGCUCUUUCAGUAGGGAAGAUAAUGACGGUACCUACAGAAGAAGCCCCGGCUAACUUCGUGCCAGCAGCCGCGGUAAUACGAAGGGGGCUAGCGUUGUUCGGAUUUACUGGGCGUAAAGCGCACGUAGGCGGUUUGUUAAGUCAGGGGUGAAAUCCCGGAGCUCAACUCCGGAACUGCCUUUGAUACUGGCAAGCUAGAGUCCGGAAGAGGUAAGUGGAACUCCUAGUGUAGAGGUGGAAUUCGUAGAUAUUAGGAAGAACACCAGUGGCGAAGGCGGCUUACUGGUCCGGAACUGACGCUGAGGUGCGAAAGCGUGGGGAGCAAACAGGAUUAGAUACCCUUGUAGGUCC